Ribosomal RNA from Loxodonta africana (African savanna elephant), 119 nucleotides. NCBI's taxonomy places the organism in Eukaryota, Metazoa, Chordata, Mammalia, Proboscidea, Elephantidae. The record is from Ensembl.
GUCUGUGGCCACACCACUGUGAAUGCACCAGAUCACAUCUGAUCUUGGAAGCUAAGCAGGGUCGGGUGUGGUUAAUACUUGGAUUGGAGACCACCUCAGAAUACCAGGUGCUGUAGGCU